UUGAAGCAUCAGUCACAAGAUCAAUCAUUUUCUUUAAAGUUCAUUCUAUUCACUCUCUUAUAUCAUAAUGAUUCUUGAUCUUUAGUAUAAUAAUAAAAUCAAAUCUACUACAUGUUUUGAGACCAUAGUUUCAAUACCAGAAUUUAUGAUGGAGGAAAAGACGGUAGUACCAUCCGUUAUUCACUGGAAGAAUCUUGUUUGGGAACUUGUGGAGAAACUGGACAAUGGGUACGAUAAAUUUAUUGAAGAUCUUCGUAUUAGUUAAUUGCGUCUACAAAUUAAUGAUAUUUCAGCAAUAUUUUAUUUCGAAGCAUUUGCAAGCUUAUGUAUGUUAAUUACUCUUUAAA
Molecule: long non-coding RNA, 347 nt
Organism: Solanum pennellii
Lineage: Eukaryota; Viridiplantae; Streptophyta; Magnoliopsida; Solanales; Solanaceae
Exons: 3
Source: RefSeq, a predicted model, not a curated record